AUAUGACUCCUCAUCGCAUGGUGGGGGGUGGAAAGCUUUUUGUGGUUUUGGAUGGACUCGCGGCCUAUCAGCUUGUUGGUGAGGUAAUGGCUUACCAAGGCGACGACGGGUAGCCGGCCUGAGAGGGUGACCGGCCACACUGGGACUGAGACACGGCCCAGACUCCUACGGGAGGCAGCAGUGGGGAAUAUUGCACAAUGGGCGCAAGCCUGAUGCAGCGACGCCGCGUGAGGGAUGACGGCCUUCGGGUUGUAAACCUCUUUCAGUAGGGAAGAAGCGAAAGUGACGGUACCUGCAGAAGAAGCGCCGGCUAACUACGUGCCAGCAGCCGCGGUAAUACGUAGGGCGCAAGCGUUAUCCGGAAUUAUUGGGCGUAAAGAGCUCGUAGGCGGUUUGUCGCGUCUGCCGUGAAAGUCCGGGGCUCAACUCCGGAUCUGCGGUGGGUACGGGCAGACUAGAGUGAUGUAGGGGAGACUGGAAUUCCUGGUGUAGCGGUGAAAUGCGCAGAUAUCAGGAGGAACACCGAUGGCGAAGGCAGGUCUCUGGGCAUUAACUGACGCUGAGGAGCGAAAGCAUGGGGAGCGAACAGGAUUAGAUACCCUGGUAGUCCAUGCCGUAAACGUUGGGCACUAGGUGUGGGGGACAUUCCACGUUUUCCGCGCCGUAGCUAACGCAUUAAGUGCCCCGCCUGGGGAGUACGGCCGCAAGGCUAAAACUCAAAGGAAUUGACGGGGGCCCGCACAAGCGGCGGAGCAUGCGGAUUAAUUCGAUGCAACGCGAAGAACCUUACCAAGGCUUGACAUGAACCGGUAACGCCUGGAGACAGGUGCCCCGCUUGCGGUCGGUUUACAGGUGGUGCAUGGUUGUCGUCAGCUCGUGUCGUGAGAUGUUGGGUUAAGUCCCGCAACGAGCGCAACCCUCGUUCUAUGUUGCCAGCACGUGAUGGUGGGGACUCAUAGGAGACUGCCGGGGUCAACUCGGAGGAAGGUGGGGACGACGUCAAAUCAUCAUGCCCCUUAUGUCUUGGGCUUCACGCAUGCUACAAUGGCCGGUACAAAGGGUUGCGAUACUGUGAGGUGGAGCUAAUCCCAAAAAGCCGGUCUCAGUUCGGAUUGGGGUCUGCAACUCGACCCCA
Molecule: ribosomal RNA, 1135 nt
Filed under: Arthrobacter sp. RB28
Lineage: Bacteria; Bacillati; Actinomycetota; Actinomycetes; Micrococcales; Micrococcaceae
Description: bacterial SSU rRNA
Rfam family: Bacterial small subunit ribosomal RNA
Source: RNAcentral